UACGUAGGUGGCAAGCGUUGUCCGGAAUUAUUGGGCGUAAAGCGUGCGCAGGCGGUUUGGUAAGACAGACGUGAAAUCCCCGGGCUUAACCUGGGAACUGCGUUUGUGACUGCCAGACUAGAGUGUAGCAGAGGGGGGUAGAAUUCCACGUGUAGCAGUGAAAUGCGUAGAGAUGUGGAGGAAUACCGAUGGCGAAGGCAGCCCCCUGGGCUAACACUGACGCUCAUGCACGAAAGCGUGGGGAGCAAACAGG
This 253-nucleotide ribosomal RNA is filed under the name uncultured bacterium. RNAcentral's name for it is "partial 16S ribosomal RNA". It matches the Rfam family "Bacterial small subunit ribosomal RNA", at positions 524 to 776 of the family's 1533-position model. The record is from RNAcentral.